Molecule: ribosomal RNA, 353 nt
Filed under: uncultured bacterium
Lineage: Bacteria
Description: partial 16S ribosomal RNA
Rfam family: Bacterial small subunit ribosomal RNA
Source: RNAcentral
CCUACGGGAGGCAGCAGUGGGGGAUAUUGCACAAUGGGGGAAACCCUGAUGCAGCGACGCCGCGUGAGUGAAGAAGUUUUUCGGUUUGUAAACUUCUAUCAUUAGGGAAGAAAAUGACAGUACCUGACCAAGAAGCCCCGGCUAACUACGUGCCAGCAGCCGCGGUAAUACGUAGGGGGCAAGCGUUAGUCGGAUUUACUGGGUGUAAAGGGAGCGUAGGCGGUUAUGUAAGUCAGGAGUGAAAGCCUAUGGCUUAACCACGGGACUGCAUUGGAAACUGUGUUUCUAGAGUACAGGAGGGGCAGGCGGAAUUCUUGGUGUAGGGGUGAAAUGCGUAGAGAUCAGGAGGAACA